RNAcentral lists this ribosomal RNA (468 nucleotides) under uncultured bacterium. Its description in RNAcentral is "partial 16S ribosomal RNA". It matches the Rfam family "Bacterial small subunit ribosomal RNA", at positions 28 to 507 of the family's 1533-position model. The record is from RNAcentral.
GACGAACGCUGGCGGCGUGCUUAACACAUGCAAGUCGAACGGAAAGGCCCUGCUUUUGUGGGGUGCUCGAGUGGCGAACGGGUGAGUAACACGUGAGUAACCUGCCCUUGACUUUGGGAUAACUUCAGGAAACUGGGGCUAAUACCGGAUAGGAGCUCCUGCUGCAUGGUGGGGGUUGGAAAUUUUCGGCGGUUGGGGAUGGACUCGCGGCUUAUCAGCUUGUUGGUGGGGUAGUGGCUUACCAAGGCUUUGACGGGUAGCCGGCCUGAGAGGGUGACCGGCCACAUUGGGACUGAGAUACGGCCCAGACUCCUACGGGAGGCAGCAGUGGGGAAUAUUGCACAAUGGGCGGAAGCCUGAUGCAGAAACGCCGCGUGCGGGAUGACGGCCUUCGGGUUGUAAACCGCUUCCGCCUGUGACGAAGCGUGAGUGACGGUAAUGGGUAAAGAAGCACCGGCUAACUACGUG